Carlito syrichta (Philippine tarsier) is the source of this 311-nucleotide long non-coding RNA. RefSeq lists it as uncharacterized. Lineage: Eukaryota; Metazoa; Chordata; Mammalia; Primates; Tarsiidae. The record is from RefSeq and is a predicted model, not a curated record. The transcript has 2 exons.
UGGAGGACUUCUCCGUGAGCCAGACCUCCCUGGAGGAGGUGUUCCUGCACUUCUCCGAGGACCAGGGAAAGGACGAGGCGGCCGAGGACCAGCAGGAGGAGACGGGUGUGGUCGUGGACCCCGCGCCGGGCCCACAGCGCCCUCAGCGCGUCAGCCGGUUCCUGGAGGACCCCGGCUCUGCGGAGACCGUGCUCUGAGUCCCCGCAGGCUGCGGGGCCGGCGGGAGGCCCUGGGCGUGGCUCGGAACGGGGGACCCCUGGGCGAGACUCGGGCAGGAAAUAAAGAGAGGCCGAAGGCCGAGGGCGACGCUG